This 135-nucleotide small nuclear RNA is filed under the name Amazona aestiva (blue-fronted amazon). RNAcentral's name for it is "U1 spliceosomal RNA". It matches the Rfam family "U1 spliceosomal RNA". From Rfam's summary of the family: U1 is a small nuclear RNA (snRNA) component of the spliceosome (involved in pre-mRNA splicing). Its 5' end forms complementary base pairs with the 5' splice junction, thus defining the 5' donor site of an intron. Lineage: Eukaryota; Metazoa; Chordata; Aves; Psittaciformes; Psittacidae. The record is from Rfam by way of RNAcentral.
GUACUGACCUGGCAGGGGAGACACCAUGAUCAAGCAGGUGGUUUUCCCAGGGCGAGGCUCAUCCCUUGCACUCCGGGUGUGCUGACCCCUGUGAUUUCCCCAAAUGCAGGAAACUCGACUGUUUGUUUGUUUUGU